Molecule: transfer RNA, 66 nt
Filed under: Pseudococculinidae sp. MNHN-IM-2013-40847
Lineage: Eukaryota; Metazoa; Mollusca; Gastropoda; Lepetellida; Pseudococculinidae
Description: tRNA-Phe
Source: RNAcentral
AUUUUAGUAGCUUAUAUUUAGAGCAUAACACUGAAGAUGUUAACGAAGGAUUUAUCCUCUAAAAUA